Molecule: ribosomal RNA, 481 nt
Filed under: uncultured bacterium
Lineage: Bacteria
Description: partial 16S ribosomal RNA
Rfam family: Bacterial small subunit ribosomal RNA
Source: RNAcentral
GAUGAACGCUGGCGGCGUGCCUAACACAUGCAAGUCGAACGGAGAUUACGGACGGAAGUUUUCGGAUGGAAGACUGUAAUUCUUAGUGGCGGACGGGUGAGUAACGCGUGGGCAACCUGCCCUAUACAGGGGGAUAGCAGCUGGAAACGGCUGGUAAGACCGCAUAAGUCGGUUAAAUCGCAUGAUUUGAUCGGGAAAUGAGCAAUCAGGUAUAGGAUGGGCCCGCAUCCGAUUAGCCAGUUGGCAGGGUAAAAGCCUACCAAAGCGACGAUCGGUAGCCGGACUGAGAGGUCGGACGGCCACAUUGGGACUGAGACACGGCCCAAACUCCUACGGGAGGCAGCAGUGGGGGAUAUUGCACAAUGGAGGAAACUCUGAUGCAGCGACGCCGCGUGAGUGAAGAAGUAUUUCGGUAUGUAAAGCUCUAUCAGCAGGGAAGAUGAUGACGGUACCUGAAUAAGAAGCCCCGGCUAACUACGUG